This 253-nucleotide ribosomal RNA is filed under the name uncultured bacterium. Its description in RNAcentral is "partial 16S ribosomal RNA". It matches the Rfam family "Bacterial small subunit ribosomal RNA", at positions 524 to 776 of the family's 1533-position model. The record is from RNAcentral.
UACGAAGGGUGCAAGCGUUAAUCGGAAUUACUGGGCGUAAAGGGUUCGUAGGUGGUGCGGCAAGUUGGGAGUGAAAUCUCUGGGCUUAACCCAGAGGCUGCUUUCAAAACUGCCGCGCUCGAGUGCGAGAGAGGUCAGUGGAAUUGCAGGUGUAGCGGUGAAAUGCGUAGAUAUCUGCAGGAACACCCGUGGCGAAGGCGGCUGACUGGAUCGCAACUGACACUGAGGAACGAAAGCUAGGGGAGCAAACAGG